UGGGUUUACCUACAUUCGCGCGUAUCAAACUCUCCCCUAUACAAAACAUGAUGUUAGAAUUCAAAUAUAUUUUACUAAUAAUUACAUAAAAAUAUUGUUUGUUAUAGUUGUCAAUUUUUUACAAAUCAAACUCAAACUAGAUUUGUUCAAACUAACAUUUAAUGUGAUUUUUUUUAGGUGCAUACCAAUAGAAGUUCAACAAUGGAAUUUAGAGCCACAACUUUGUGUGAUAAGAUAAAGGAGUUGAUUUAUGGACCAUCUUGCAAUAAUGAUAUAGAACCACAACAACAUUUAUGGGACUACAAAAUUGAAUUCGAUGCAGUGGAAUUAUUACCAACAAUAAGUCAAAAUCCAAACAUGUAUAAUUACAUGCAAAAUAUUUAUGAAACUCCUAGUUUUUUCUAAGCUAAAGUAGUUUUUCAUUUGGACAUGGAAAUAAUUGAGAUAAUGUAAAAUUUCAUCUCCUAGUUUAGUAUCUUUAUUUAAGCAUAUUUUGUUUGUUGUCAGCCAAUUCUUUGGUUUUAGGAUUACAUAAGUUCUCUUAGCUCUAUUUCAACUUUUGAUAAUUAUGAGCAUACUUAGUUUGAAGGAAAUUAUUUUUCACUGAGAAAAGAUUUUCUAAAAAUAAAUUAUCUUUUGUACUUAUUUUAAUGUUUGAUAUGUAAAUAAAAAAUAUUGUCCCAAAACCAAUAACUUGGACAAAUGCUGUGAAUGUUCUAUGAAAGUGAAGGUGGGGUGGGUGGGGGUGGAGGGAGAGGAGGGGGUUGGGGGUCGAUUUCAACUUCAUUUUCGAUGAAAUUUUAUAUUUAAACUCCUUAAGUUAUGGAUAGCCGGAAGAAGGCAGAGUUUUGGGGAUACCAAAAGCAGGGCCAGAGGCUCUGCGGUGUAGUGGUCGAUCUAGAAUAGUAUAUACGGUUCACAAAAAUUCAGUAGCUUUUUCUCAACUCUGUAUAUUUAUUAAGGUAUAUACUUUAUAAAUAUCUAUAAAUAUUUGAGUACCCAUUAUUUUUGUGUAUUUAUAACUUGAGGAGUUGAGGUUAUCGUAGGAACCCAACAAACAACAACAAUAGCAUACCCAUAAUAGUUAGCAAAGAAUGCAAGAACAAAAAAAGAAUUAUAAUGAAAAUAUUAACGACAAAAAAGCACUAGUGAUAACAAAAAUGGUAAAUAGUAAAGAUAAUUAGAGUAAAAAAUCACAAUAGAAAAUAGUAAAAAUAACCAAAGUAAGAAAUAACAGUUAUAUAAAAUAAAGGAAUAAGAGUCCCUUCGGAGAUCCAAUAAAAUUGAAUGAUACAGAUGAAAAGAUUAGCAUGCUCCUGUGCUUGAAUGACAGACACAAAUCUAGAAAUGAUCCUCAAAAAAUUUACUAAUAAUAGAGAUAUAAGAUAAUAAUAUCAUAAUAAUGAAGUAGAAAUUUACAAACUUUAAAUUUCAAAUCGAAUUGUGACUCAUAACCUCAUGUUGAAACAAAUUAUGAGGAAUCUAAACUUAGUAGCCUUUUGACCAUGAGUAACUUUUCAACUUUUAUUCGAAAAACUAUUUCACUUUAGUGAAAAAAAUGAAAAUCACAGUGCUUGGUCAUGAAAAUUCCAAAUAUGAUUUGAAAUUGUAUUUUGAAAAAGUGAAUAUAAGAAAAACUUGUUUAGAAAAACUUGUUUUUACUUUUUUCACUUCUAUUUUUCUCACAAUAUUUUAAAAACAACUUUAAUUUAUAUUCACGAUCAAACACAACUCCAACUCCAACUUCAGCUCCAACUCUAUUUCCAACUCCGAAAAAUUAUAUUUUCAUGGCCAAAGUGGCCUUAGUCUUGCAAUUGGGGCCGUCGAAUCCAACAAAAGAGGCUCUUGAAAGAAAAUUUUAAUUUUUUCUUUCUUUGAAAAUACCAAAAUUAAAAGGGUUGUCUUGAAAAGGACAAAAAGAAAUGUAAUAUCUACAGAAAAUAAUAAAAUUAUCUAGGAAGAAAGAAAUAUCUACAAAUGUAAAUUCAUUUGUGUCCAUAGAUAAAAUGCUAAUAGAAGGCAACUAUGGCCAGGGGAACCAGAAAAGAGCCAACAUCAUUAGACUUUGAGUCCAUAACUUGAACGUACUUUAGCAUGUUUUUUAAUUCUAAAAAUUACACAAAUACACAAUUUAUGAUUUCAAUAUUACAAAAAAUCCCAACUCCUUAAACAUAUUAUAAAAAUUCCAACAUAUACACAAAAUGCUAUAUAUAUAUAUCGACUAUGUUAUGUAUAUAAUAGGGAGAGCGAGUAAAAUAAUUAAAAAAAUGAAAGAAAAUAUAAUUACUUUCAAAAAGUUGGUAUUUAUGUUAUUUAUACUUUUUAAUUUAUGUGACACACUUUUUCUUCACAGUAUAUUUCAAAAAAAAUAUGCUACUUCGUUAUUUUCAAGAUAAUAUGAGAUAAUUUAAAGUUAUGCUUUAUAAAAGGUCGUUUCAUAUUCAAUUAUAUACUAUUACAUAAGGGCGGAUUUAGGUGUAAAUAUUUAGUGAUUCGGCAUCCGUUAAAUUUAUCAUAAAUUAGGUAUAAUUAUAUAAAAACACCCUUAAAAGUUGAAACUAAAAAACCCCCUUUUUUAUCCAAAAAGAUUAAAUUUUAAAUUUGAAAGGAUUUUUAUUAUCAAAGUAACAAAACAAAAAAAAAAUUCGAAAAAAAAUUAUUUACAUUUUAUUCAGAUUCGCCACUUCAUAUAAACUCGAUGUGCCAAGUCACCUUUGAAAUUUUUUUUCUAAACUGUUUAACUCUUUGAAAACUGAUUUGUGAACAGAGAUCCUCAUUAAGGAACUCUGUUGACCGAAAAGAAGGUGUAAAGCACUCUUCGAUUCUGUAGUUCGACUACGGUCGCUUUGCAGAACGUAUCGACUAUUUAGGCACGACGAAUGUAUAAAUCACACAAAAAACACAUCAAACAAUCAAACAAUCCAAAAUAUAAUGUCCAGUUCAAUUAUACAGUCCAAAAGAAAAAUAAAAUGCGGAAAAAUAUAAACCUACGGUAUUCUUAACUACGCUCCAACGCUUUACCCGAUGCCUCGAGCCUUGAUCACGAACCUCCUUCAGAGACAUAAUACGUCAGGGUAUUCCCUGAUGAAUAAAUACAUAAAACCUCAGGGCAUUCCCCGAUGAAUAAAUACAUGAAACCUCAUGGCAUUCCCUGGCCAAAUGAUUACACUUGAAUCAAAGACGAUAAACUAGAAAACAUUCAACACACAUCCCACAAUCCAACAUUCAAUAAAAACACUAUUCCUAAAUUUUUGGCUACUCAAACCUACAUUUGUCUAUUUAUUCAACAUAUCAUAAUUCCAUCACUUUUAAUAUCAUCCAUACCUCAAAAUUAAUCGAUAUUUAUUUUCAUAUCAAUUCCCAACAUCCAACCCCAAAUUACAUUUUAAACAUACAACUUCCACGAGAUAAUUAUCCAUGCCUUAACAAGAAAACUCCUAUCACAAUCAAUUGUUCGACAUCAAACACCCGCCAAAUCACCCAAUUUCAAUCAUCAAGUGCAUAAACAUCAACGAAAUUAAACAAUCAUAAUCAACAAACACAUAAUUAUAGUCAAUUCAACAAAUCAAGAUAAAGAAAAGAGAACGGGUUUAAAAAAUGACCUUCCCAUGAUUGAUUUUCGUUGAUAAUAGUGUUUAAGAAAUCCGAGCUCGAAAUCCCGAAUAAAAAACCUCGAAGACGAACACACCAAAUCAGUGUAGAGAAAUCCAAUUCGAAGAAAUCCUCCCUGAUUCGAACAGACGAAUAAACCCGCAAAAAGAUCGAAUCAAUCGAAUAAAUUGAGAAAAAUCCGUGCACGAUUUCACCGACUCCCUUUCAAUCGUUUCUUCGCUCCUUUACUUCUCACUAUUCUAUUCCCUCUCUCGAUUUAUCUAUCGUUUCUCCAUUUCCUCUUCUUCAAUUUUUUUCCAAAAUCUCGUCUAGGUGUGUUAUAUCAAGAAGAGUCCAUUUUUCGUGGGAAUUUUGUGUUUCUGGGUAUAUUGAAUCUCAAAUCUGUGUGUGGUCGUGAGGGUGAGUCCCAAAAAGGAAAGAAGAAAAGAAGAUGACGGUGGACUACUCCCCUCAGAGAAUUGGGACCUCUGUGAGCAUAUAUCGUCCAGAAGAAGGAAAAAAGGGGGAAAAUAUGGAGUCCUUGCCUUCCUCUUUUUUUUAAUUUUUUUUGUCGCUGGAUCUUUCCUUUUUGGAGAUGAUUGAGAAUAUCCCCUUUUCCGAGAAAAAUGAGCUACAAGGCCUUUACAAGUUUCCAAUUAUAAAAAAAAAAAAAAUAGGAUAAGUGGACCACAAAUUUGUCCCUUACAAAAAC
Molecule: long non-coding RNA, 4303 nt
Filed under: Capsicum annuum
Lineage: Eukaryota; Viridiplantae; Streptophyta; Magnoliopsida; Solanales; Solanaceae
Description: long non-coding RNA (CANN_LNC015156)
Source: RNAcentral